GUUCUUUGGCUCUUGUGUGAGUGGAUGGUGACACCAGGCCAGCUGGGGAUUCUUCCCAGGCUGGGCUCACAGGCUGGGGCUGGGCACACGGAGCAGCUGCGGGAAAAGGAUCUGGACACCAGCCCCCCAGCGUGUCACCGGCAGGAAGGUGAGGUGGGAACAGAGUGACGUCCAUGCAUGUUCAGGACUAAGCCAGUGGAUCACAAACAUCCUGGAGAGCAGUGACUCUGUGAUUCCAUCACAAGAAUAUGAAGGACUGAGAAGAUCUCCAGCUCUGCCCAUUGCACCUUCCCAUUGAGAAGCAGCAUGGCACCCUGGUGGCAGGGGCUGAUACUCAGCCGGGCCAGGGUGCUCUCCUGUUAACCAUAACCAAGCUCACAGGACAUGGGAUGAGCCCACUGUGUGACACAGGGAGCGGGACACAGUCUGUUAAGUCUUGCACAGCCAUGCUCUGCCACGCAGGCAGGCCUUUCCUUGGCCUCCCUCUCCCUGUUCGUGCUCAUGUGAACAUCCACCUACGUGGAUAGACUGGGCUUUGGUUCAUUAUUGCUCUGUGAAUUCCUCGAACUUCCGCAUCUGCCCAACCUCCCCCACCCCAUUGUUUUCAUUGUGUUUCACCAAAUGGAAAUUCUAGAGUGAUGAACCUGAGGCUCAAAAUGAACAAGUGACUUCCCAAGGCCAAUGAUAAGCACUAGACCAUUAAUUUCUUCUUUAGAUGUCAAGUCCUUUCCAUUCUGCACUGGCACAGACAUCUCAAGUUGAGGCCUAUAAGCAAACACCUAUGUCCUAACCAAAAGACUAGGAUUCCCAAAGAAAUUAUACAAGAUGAUUUAAAUUUCCUGGACCUUUCCUUUUAUGGUGUGCCUAUCAGUUAGGAUUCUUUACAAAUAACAGAUAACCCAAAUCAAAAUGCUUAAGCAAAAAACAUGAUUUUUUAAAAAUCUCAUGUAGCUGAAAGUACAGAGUAGGGCAGAUAUCAGAGUUGAUUGAUUCAGAGGCCAGAUGAUGUCAUCAAGACCUGCAUUCUGCAGUCACGCUUCGUCUGAAAGCUGGGUCCCUUGUUUUCUGGGAAGAAUUCAGGACAAUUCGCAGACGGAGAGCAUUUUCCCAAGCAACAAUUUUGAGAGGAACCCUGAUCAGAUGGUUUAUGUAAAACGACCAGAUGCUGUGGCCAGGGAAGGAAAGAUGCUGCCCUGGUCACCCCUGGCAUCAUGUAGUGUCAGCCUUCCCCAUAGCCCAUGGAGCAGGGGAGGAUAAUGGGAUAAAAAUCCACAUGGCCUCUUUAAGGAGAAGCGGGUGGGAAGGUGAACACUGGAUAGUAAACUAAUAACGGCCAUCCGGUGUUCACAUGCUACAGACAUCAAAGCCUAAUUCUCUUCGUUUUCAGAUAGAAUCUUCAACUCGGAGGCACCAGUCUCUCUCACUUGAGGAAAGAAUGCGAAGGAAGGAAUGGCCUGACUUCCUCAUGUGUGCCCUGUUUCUCGGUAGGCACCAUGUGGGGGCUGCCACACAUGUGCCGAAGCUUUGGGAACGUUCCGUUUAAAUACCAAUUUCGAUGCCAAUGCCUAACAUGGAGCACAAAUAUCCAGGUACCUCUCUGAUUUCUUCUCUUAUGCUUCAAACUCUUUGAGAACAGAAAUUUUUCUCAUUUGUGUUUGUAUCAUCUGUAGUAUUUAGCAAUGCCUUGCCUAUAGUAGGUAGGUGCUUAAUGACUAUUGUAUUCCAUUAGGGCCUAUUCAGUGAUGGUUUAAGUUUAGAAAAGAGUUUCCCUUGCAUUCAGUUUGCCAGUUUUUGAUCAGCAUCAUUAAAGGAGAACUAGCUUUACCUCUUUAAUAAUUUGUUUAAUUCUAAAUCAGUAAAAUUUUUGUGGUAUGCUGACGACAUGGCCUAAGCUAUUGCAGGAGGUUGAGAUAUUCAAGGUGAUAGAAAAAUAUCUAAGACCAAAUUCCUGUCCUGAAGAAGCUCACAUAGUUGUGGGAGCCAUAGAUAAGAAAGAAGCAUUUACGAAGCACAUCAAAAGUGUCUCAGAAGAGCUGUAUACUUGGCCAUGGGGGCAGCAGGUAAGAAGAGGAGGGAAGGGAAGAGGAGGGGAGGGAAGAGUAAGAGAGGGGAGGGAAAAGGAGGGAAGG
This 2129-nucleotide long non-coding RNA is filed under the name Homo sapiens (human). RNAcentral's name for it is "HSALNT0375203". Lineage: Eukaryota; Metazoa; Chordata; Mammalia; Primates; Hominidae. The record is from RNAcentral.